Molecule: ribosomal RNA, 383 nt
Filed under: uncultured bacterium
Lineage: Bacteria
Description: bacterial SSU rRNA
Rfam family: Bacterial small subunit ribosomal RNA
Source: RNAcentral
ACUCCUACGGGAGGCAGCAGUGGGGAAUAUUGGACAAUGGGCGAAAGCCUGAUCCAGCAAUGCCGCGUGUGUGAAGAAGGCCUUAGGGUUGUAAAGCACUUUCAGCAGGGAAGAAAAGCUCGGGGAUAAUACCCCGGCCGUGCAUCGGUACCUGCAGAAGAAGCACCGGCUAACUCCGUGCCAGCAGCCGCGGUAAUACGGAGGGUGCAAGCGUUAAUCGGAAUUACUGGGCGUAAAGCGCGCGUAGGUGGUUUGGUAAGUCGGAUGUGAAAGCCCCGGGCUCAACCUGGGAAGCUGCAUUCGAUACUGUCAGACUAGAGUAUGGUAGAGGGAAGUGGAAUUCCGCAUGGUAGCGGUGAAAUGCAUAGAGAAUGCGGAGGAAC